GUCGCCGAGUAUCAGCAGUACCAGGAUGCAACUGCAGAUGAAGAGUAUGAAGAUGAAGAAGAGGAAAUCCCUGCUUGAGCCACCGUCCCCGGCAACUACCUUGGUUUGUCCGAAAUGGUAACGUUGUUGUUGAGUUUUAUUGUUUAAGUUUGUGAUGGUCAUGAUGAUGAUGAUGGUGUUGUUUCCUAUUCUCCAGCAGUUUGUAGAAUUUUACAUGUUUUGAGUAUGGAGUGAGUGAGGGUUCAUGUAAUGUAAUCAGAGCUGG
RNAcentral lists this unclassified non-coding RNA (265 nucleotides) under Hevea brasiliensis (rubber tree). Lineage: Eukaryota; Viridiplantae; Streptophyta; Magnoliopsida; Malpighiales; Euphorbiaceae. The record is from RNAcentral.